RNAcentral lists this ribosomal RNA (484 nucleotides) under uncultured bacterium. Its description in RNAcentral is "partial 16S ribosomal RNA". It matches the Rfam family "Bacterial small subunit ribosomal RNA", at positions 30 to 507 of the family's 1533-position model. The record is from RNAcentral.
AUUGAACGCUGGCGGCAGGCCUAACACAUGCAAGUCGAGCGGAUGAAGGGAGCUUGCUCCUGGAUUCAGCGGCGGACGGGUGAGUAAUGCCUAGGAAUCUGCCUGGUAGUGGGGGAUAACGUCCGGAAACGGGCGCUAAUACCGCAUACGUCCUGAGGGAGAAAGUGGGGGAUCUUCGGACCUCACGCUAUCAGAUGAGCCUAGGUCGGAUUAGCUAGUUGGUGGGGUAAAGGCCUACCAAGGCGACGAUCCGUAACUGGUCUGAGAGGAUGAUCAGUCACACUGGAACUGAGACACGGUCCAGACUCCUACGGGAGGCAGCAGUGGGGAAUAUUGGACAAUGGGCGAAAGCCUGAUCCAGCCAUGCCGCGUGUGUGAAGAAGGUCUUCGGAGUGUAAAGCACUUUAAGUUGGGAGGAAGGGCAGUAAGUUAAUACCUUGCUGUUUUGACGGUACCAACAGAAUAAGCACCGGCUAACUUCGUG